This 684-nucleotide long non-coding RNA is filed under the name Prunus persica (peach). RNAcentral describes it as "long non-coding RNA (PPER_LNC005002)". The record is from RNAcentral. Lineage: Eukaryota; Viridiplantae; Streptophyta; Magnoliopsida; Rosales; Rosaceae.
UCAAAGUCUACUUCAGAUUUUGAUUUGGGUUCUGAUAUUGCAGGAUUAGCUGGGCAACUUGACGGAGUAUCAUCCACAAUGGGCGCAGUCUCAGGUUCAACUUCUGAUUUUAAAUUGGGUUGGGAGAUUGCAUCACUUUCUGGGCAAGUUGACAGAGUAACAUCCCCAAUGGGCACAAUCUCAGGUUCAAUUUCUAAUUUGGAAUUCGGUUCUGAUAUUGCAUCAUUAACUGGGAAACUUGACAAGGUAUCCUCUAUACCAGGCCCACCCUCAGCUUCAAUUUCUGAUUUUGAAUGCUCAAGAAGGCAAGGACUAGGGCUUUCACUACUCUUCUCAUUUAGGUUUACAGCAUCAGUCCCUGCCAUCCCAUCGUCAACAGUGCAAGUUGAAACAUCUUCAGUAGGUAGAGAAACCUCGUUUUCAACAUCUGGAUUUCCUGUUGUAUCAUUAUCAGCAACAGUUGAAAAGCUUUCACCAUUUUCAGUAGGCAUUUUCUCACAGCUCUCAGCAUUUUCACAUGACCCGUUCUCAUCAGGUGCAUCAACCAAGUCAACUGUAACUACGGGCUCUGAAAUGCCCUCUUGAGCAUGAACAAUAAGCAAGCCAUCUUCAGUACUUUGAUCAGGGACAGUGCCAUUGCCAACUUCUGCUGCCAACUUGUUCUCAACUUGGAAGGAGGCGUUU